RNAcentral lists this ribosomal RNA (1350 nucleotides) under Janthinobacterium psychrotolerans. RNAcentral's name for it is "bacterial LSU rRNA". It matches the Rfam family "Bacterial large subunit ribosomal RNA", at positions 1584 to 2925 of the family's 2925-position model. Lineage: Bacteria; Pseudomonadati; Pseudomonadota; Betaproteobacteria; Burkholderiales; Oxalobacteraceae. The record is from RNAcentral.
CACGAAGCAAUCGGAAGUGGUUCCAAGAAAAGCCUCUAAGCUUCAGUCAUACGAGACCGUACCGCAAACCGACACAGGUGGGCGAGAUGAGUAUUCUAAGGCGCUUGAGAGAACUCGGGAGAAGGAACUCGGCAAAUUGGUACCGUAACUUCGGGAAAAGGUACGCCCCGGUAGCUUGACUGCUUUACUGCAGAAGGGUGAAAGGGUUGCAAUAAACUGGUGGCUGCGACUGUUUAAUAAAAACACAGCACUCUGCAAACACGAAAGUGGACGUAUAGGGUGUGACGCCUGCCCGGUGCUGGAAGAUUAAAUGAUGGGGUGCAAGCUCUUGAUUGAAGUCCCAGUAAACGGCGGCCGUAACUAUAACGGUCCUAAGGUAGCGAAAUUCCUUGUCGGGUAAGUUCCGACCUGCACGAAUGGCGUAACGAUGGCCACACUGUCUCCUCCCGAGACUCAGCGAAGUUGAAAUGUUUGUGAUGAUGCAAUCUACCCGCGGCUAGACGGAAAGACCCCAUGAACCUUUACUGUAGCUUUGCAUUGGACUUUGAACCAAUCUGUGUAGGAUAGGUGGGAGGCUUUGAAGCGGGGACGCUAGUUCUCGUGGAGCCAACCUUGAAAUACCACCCUGGUUUGUUUGAGGUUCUAACCUUGGUCCGUUAUCCGGAUCGGGGACAGUGCAUGGUAGGCAGUUUGACUGGGGCGGUCUCCUCCUAAAGUGUAACGGAGGAGUUCGAAGGUACGCUAGAUACGGUCGGACAUCGUGUUGAUAGUGCAAUGGCAUAAGCGUGCUUAACUGCGAGACUGACAAGUCGAGCAGGUACGAAAGUAGGACAUAGUGAUCCGGUGGUUCUGUAUGGAAGGGCCAUCGCUCAACGGAUAAAAGGUACUCUGGGGAUAACAGGCUGAUUCCUCCCAAGAGUUCAUAUCGACGGGGGAGUUUGGCACCUCGAUGUCGGCUCAUCACAUCCUGGGGCUGUAGCCGGUCCCAAGGGUAUGGCUGUUCGCCAUUUAAAGUGGUACGUGAGCUGGGUUUAAAACGUCGUGAGACAGUUUGGUCCCUAUCUGCCGUGGGCGUUGGAAAUUUGAAGGGGGCUGCUCCUAGUACGAGAGGACCGGAGUGGACGAACCUCUGGUGUACCGGUUGUCACGCCAGUGGCAUUGCCGGGUAGCUAAGUUCGGAAGAGAUAACCGCUGAAAGCAUCUAAGCGGGAAACUUGCCUUGAGAUGAGAUUUCCCAGAGCCUUGAGCUCUUUGAAGGGUCGUUCGAGACCAGGACGUUGAUAGGCUGGGUGUGGAAGUGCAGUAAUGCAUUAAGCUAACCAGUACUAAUUGCCCGUACGGCUUGUCCCU